Long non-coding RNA from Passer domesticus (house sparrow), 389 nucleotides. RefSeq lists it as uncharacterized. Lineage: Eukaryota; Metazoa; Chordata; Aves; Passeriformes; Passeridae. The record is from RefSeq and is a predicted model, not a curated record. The transcript has 3 exons.
CAAGUGUAUGAAGUGUAAGGGUGACUAUGAAGCUGAUGAAUGAGUGGCCAUUUAAAAGUGUUCUAUUUAAAAGGAAGAGAAAGGAUCACUGUACGAGGUCUCCUCUCCACCCCCAUCAGCUGGACAUCAGGAGAUUUCAGAAGAUGAAAUAUAACCACAUUUUCUAUGAUGGCUGUGUGGCACCUCUGUCAAAAACAUGGAAGGCCCAGGACUACAAAGAAGGUCAUUUGUAAUGAGGAGAGAAGGUGGAGUCUAAGCUGUGGGUCUCAUACUGGCACUGCCAAUAACUACAGCCUAGAGAAAGAAGGUCACAGCGCUGCAGGGCCCUGACUGUAAAUGGUGCUUCUAUGGCUUUAAAGACUACAUAAUUUCAUUCCACUUAAGUCAGC